This 933-nucleotide unclassified non-coding RNA is filed under the name Homo sapiens (human). RNAcentral describes it as "hydroxysteroid 17-beta dehydrogenase 8 (multiple genes)". Lineage: Eukaryota; Metazoa; Chordata; Mammalia; Primates; Hominidae. The record is from RNAcentral.
GAACCGACUCCGCUCCGCACUGGCCUUGGUCACAGGUUGAGGGGGUUCUUUCCCCGGGCGGUUUGGGGUAUUGGAGUGAGGUCAGGGGCGUGCCCUUGGAGUGCGCGGCCGCUGUGACCUCUGGCCCCUUACCCACAUUUUACUUUCUGCCCUGUGACCUCUGAUCCCUGCCCUCUCCUCCCCGUGCCCGGUCCGGCGUGUUCUGUCCUACCUCAGGUGCGGGGAGCGGCAUCGGCCGAGCGGUCAGUGUACGCCUGGCCGGAGAGGGGGCCACCGUAGCUGCCUGCGACCUGGACCGGGCAGCGGCACAGGAGACGGUGCGGCUGCUGGGCGGGCCAGGGAGCAAGGAGGGGCCGCCCCGAGGGAACCAUGCUGCCUUCCAGGCUGACGUGUCUGAGGCCAGGGCCGCCAGGUGCCUGCUGGAACAAGUGCAGGCCUGCUUUUCUCGCCCACCAUCUGUCGUUGUGUCCUGUGCGGGCAUCACCCAGGAUGAGUUUCUGCUGCACAUGUCUGAGGAUGACUGGGACAAAGUCAUAGCUGUCAACCUCAAGGGCACCUUCCUAGUCACUCAGGCUGCAGCACAAGCCCUGGUGUCCAAUGGUUGUCGUGGUUCCAUCAUCAACAUCAGUAGCAUCGUAGGAAAGGUGGGGAACGUGGGGCAGACAAACUAUGCAGCAUCCAAGGCUGGAGUGAUUGGGCUGACCCAGACCGCAGCCCGGGAGCUUGGACGACAUGGGAUCCGCUGUAACUCUGUCCUCCCAGGGUUCAUUGCAACACCCAUGACACAGAAAGUGCCACAGAAAGUGGUGGACAAGAUUACUGAAAUGAUCCCGAUGGGACACUUGGGGGACCCUGAGGAUGUGGCAGAUGUGGUCGCAUUCUUGGCAUCUGAAGAUAGUGGAUACAUCACAGGGACCUCAGUGGAAGUCACUG